Danio rerio (zebrafish) is the source of this 54-nucleotide non-coding RNA. The record is from Rfam. Lineage: Eukaryota; Metazoa; Chordata; Actinopteri; Cypriniformes; Danionidae.
UUCCUUCCUUAUUGUAAGUUGCUUUGGAUAAAAGCAUCUGCUAAACCACUAAAA